This 503-nucleotide ribosomal RNA is filed under the name uncultured bacterium. RNAcentral's name for it is "bacterial SSU rRNA". It matches the Rfam family "Bacterial small subunit ribosomal RNA", at positions 29 to 521 of the family's 1533-position model. The record is from RNAcentral.
AGUGAACGCUGGCGGCAGGCCUAAUACAUGCAAGUCGAACGGCAGCACAGCAGAGCUUGCUCUGUGGGUGGCGAGUGGCGGACGGGUGAGGAAUACGUGGGAAUCUGCCCAGUCGUGGGGGAUAACGUAGGGAAACUUACGCUAAUACCGCAUGCGCCCUUCGGGGAAAGCCGGGGACCUUCGGGCCUGGCGCGAUUGGAUGAGCCCACGUCGGAUUAGCUAGUUGGCGGGUAAAGGCCCACCAAGGCGACGAUCCGUAGCUGGUCUGAGAGGAUGAUCAGCCACACUGGAACUGAGACACGGUCCAGACUCCUACGGGAGGCAGCAGUAGGGAAUAUUGGACAAUGGGCGCAAGCCUGAUCCAGCCAUGCCGCGUGAGUGAAGAAGGCCCUCGGGUUGUAAAGCUCUUUGUCCGGAAAGAAAAGACGCCGGGUUAAAUGCCCUGGUGUCCUGACGGUACCGGAAGAAUAAGCACCGGCUAACUUCGUGCCAGCAGCCGCGGU